AUUCAUUGAAGGCAACGGACACAUAAAACUGCAGUGCCUGAUCUGACGCGGGUCGGUACUACGUUUCUGGAGGGGUCUGGAUUCCCCAUUGGUUUUUUUAUUUUUGGAAGGUGGUUGAAUGUAUGGUUCGGCUCUGUAACUGGGAACACACACACACAAAAAAGAGAGAGAAGUCCACUCCUUUCGUCCUUUCUUUUUCUUCUCCCCCAAAAGGCCCUGCAUGUCUAACAUUUAGACAUGUUUAGCUUUGUGGAUUCGAGGACUGUACUGCUACUUGUAGCAACCCAAGUCGUUCUAUUAGCCGUUGUCAAAUGUCAGGACGAAGACCAGGACAUAGGCAGCUGUAUGCAGGACGGACAGAGCUAUAGUGACAAGGACGUAUGGGAACCAGAGCCGUGUCGUAUUUGUGUGUGCGGACACGGGAACUGUCCUGUGUGAUGAAAUAAUCUGCGAGGAGAUUAAAGACUGCCCAAAACCCGAGAUCCCAUUCGGAGAGUGUUGCCCCAUCUGUGUGCGGGACGGGGAAGCUCCCCCAAGUGGGUCCCCCGGAGCUAAGGUGAGACAAUUUGGGUUGGG
This is a long non-coding RNA of Salvelinus sp. IW2-2015, 576 nucleotides long. RefSeq lists it as uncharacterized. Lineage: Eukaryota; Metazoa; Chordata; Actinopteri; Salmoniformes; Salmonidae. The record is from RefSeq and is a predicted model, not a curated record.